UCUAAGGAUGAGUGAAAGUAAAAUUUCACUCUAAAUAAUAUACAUCGGUAAUGUUGACCGUCCUCAUUUCUCUUCUUAAAGUAAUGUUUCCUUCUUGUAGGGCCGGUAGCUCAGUUGGUUAGAGCACACCCUUGAUAAGGGUGGGGUCGAAAGUUCGAGUCUUUCUCGGCCCACCAAAAACCUAAAUGGGGGAUUAGCUCAUCUGGGAGAGCGCCUGAUUUGCAUUCAGGAGGUAGCAGGUUCGAUCCCUGUAUCCUCCACCAGGAAACAUUUAGUUAUUAAAACUGUAAAUAAAAAUAAUUUAUAUCAAUAUCUAUAUCCGAACAUUAAAAGUUAUUAUUUAAUGUUCAAAAUAAAAAUUUGAUCGUGACAUAGAUCUAUUUUCUGUUCAAAGAAUCGAUGUCUGUGCAUAACU
This 415-nucleotide transfer RNA is filed under the name uncultured marine alpha proteobacterium. Its description in RNAcentral is "16S-23S intergenic spacer region". The stretch from base 100 to 173 matches the Rfam family "tRNA". Lineage: Bacteria; Pseudomonadati; Pseudomonadota; Alphaproteobacteria. The record is from RNAcentral.